Molecule: ribosomal RNA, 377 nt
Filed under: uncultured eukaryote
Lineage: Eukaryota
Description: partial 18S ribosomal RNA
Rfam family: Eukaryotic small subunit ribosomal RNA
Source: RNAcentral
CAAUAGCGUAUAUUAAAGUUGUUGCAGUUAAAAAGCUCGUAGUUGGAUUUCGGGGUGGCCUGCCUGGUCCACCGCAAGGUGAGUACUGGUCAGCUGCCCUUCCUCUCGAAAGCCCCGACUGCUCUUCGUUGCAGUGGUCGGGUAGUUCGGGACGUUUACUUUGAAAAAAUUAGAGUGUUCAAGGCAGGCUGUCGCCUGAAUACAUUAGCAUGGAAUAAUGGAAGAGGACCUCGGUCCUAUUUUGUUGGUUUCUAGGGCCGAAGUAAUGAUUAAGAGGGACAGUUGGGGGCAUUCGUAUUUAAUUGUCAGAGGUGAAAUUCUUGGAUUUAUGAAAGACGAACUAGUGCGAAAGCAUUUGCCAAGGAUGUUUUCAUUAA